Long non-coding RNA from Suricata suricatta (meerkat), 2103 nucleotides. Lineage: Eukaryota; Metazoa; Chordata; Mammalia; Carnivora; Herpestidae. The record is from Ensembl.
GUCCCCAGAUGCUACCAAUGCCGUCUCGUAGCACGGAUCCCCAUGACAAGCCCCUCGCUGCCCCCUCUUCUCCCAAUCACCCUCAGUGCCUGUAGGAGAGCCUCUCACUGGCUGCCCCCGCCCCUCCGCCUGUGGCCGCCUCUGCGCCUGCGCAGGACUUACUCCUAAUAAGGCCGGGGGCCCGCCCCUACCGCCCUACCGAAGGGUUCGCAUUCUCCCGCCUUCCCUCCGCCACCCGGGCGAUUGGUCUGUCAACUCUCGGCCCGCGGGGGAGGGUGCGGAGGACGGCCAAACGGCAGGUUGCGCCCCGCCCCCCCUUAAAGGAGAAGCGCUGUCAAGCUCGCCUCUCUGCUCAAUGUCUGAAUGAGACUUGAGCGGGAAGGUGGCGGAGUUCUUCCUUUCGUCUUUCCCACAAGGAGGGGGAACCUUGGUCCAGCUCCCUCGGCGCGAUAUUACCGAUAUUCUCCCCAUCAGGUGGAUCUGGAGCGGCAACUCGCGAGGCCUUAAAAGAACAGCAGGCAGCCGGUUGCUUUUCGCUGCAACCUGGAGUAAGGCCUGCGGGAACUACGCGACCCAGAGUGCAGCGGGUGCGGCUCCCGGCAUGCUCGGCGGCGGAAUUCCCGCCGAGCCGCCGCCGCUCGCUCCGCCGCCGCUUCAGCGCUGCCGCGAGCCCCGGCCCUCCUCCCGCCGCGGCUUACGCGCUCACGGAGUGCCGGGGAGGGCCGGUCGCCGAGUUGGUUCGCAGGUGGUACACCUGUACGACGACCUAUUUAGAGCACUUUGAAAACAUCUGUUAGGAGAAGUAACCAUUGAUGCGCAAAGAAAAUUCUAGACCCGAUCUACUGGAAAUGCUGCCUUUGAGACAAAAACAAGGCCCUCCAGGAAAUUCGGGGUCUUGGAAAUAACAGAAAUCUUGCUCGGGACUCGGAGAUUGCCUCGUGUUAUUUAUACUGUGGCAUUUUGUGGUUUUGAUGACUCGGAUAUUAAACCGACCCCAGCAGCGCAGUGUGGUGUACAGUUUGUGAGAACCGUCUAGGGAUUUCGCUGUUGUCAUUCUUUAAACCUUUCAGAUGAAGCAGACAGGUCUUGUCAAAAGCCAGUCACUGUUAAAAAUUGAAUCUUACUGCUUCUUACCUGAACCCUCCUGUUUUUGCCUAUUCCUGGUUUUGAAUCAGCGAGUCUUUUUGGAGGUCCUAAGUAAUGCAAGAUGCCUUGUUAUUUUCCUGUUCACGUCCGACACCUGCGGGUGUUAUUCGGCCUGAGAAGUAAUCUGCAGGCAGAUAGGACAAGGGGUUAGAAACCAGAAGUAAGAAAGUCAGUGAUGUGGGAUAACUUAGGCUGUUGGGCCCAAGAACAUAGAGCAAGAAUGGAGGAAACAAGACUGAGUGUGGUCACGGAAGUCAUUUACACAUUGUUUUCAGCUUUCCUAACUUGUUGAACAGGCUGAAAGGAAGCAAAAAUCCAAAUGGUAAUUUUUUUGAGCUUGUGUUGGCCUAAGCCUAUAAAAAACACUCUCAUGUGGUGUGUGUGUGUGUGUGUGUGUGUGUGAAUGAAUUAUUUCAGACGUGCUUUUUUUCCCCCUCAAUCUAAGCUGAUAAUCAAAGGCAUAUCCUGCCAUACCUGUGAGAGCAUACCAUGUGGAGAGCGCACUAACUUGGGGGAAAAAGAAGAAAUCACCGUAUUCUCUACACUCAAUUCUUGACCUUUGGUUAUUUAUGAUGUCAUCUCAGUAAUCACUUACCUGGACUUUGGGGGGGUUUCACGUUGGGUUCCCUUACUCAGCUAAAUGCAAAAUCUAAAAGUCCCCCAGUCCUUUGCAAUGAAGAAAUUAAUUGGUGAUAUCAGAUGCUCUGAUAAAGCAAAAAGGAAUUUUAUUUGUUCCUCAAAAUAUUUUCUACCAUUAAGUAACCCUAAAACAGAUAAGUAACCGACUGCCCCAGGUAAGUACAAGUGUCUGGGAUUACCUGUAAUUUUGAAAUCAAAGAGGUCCCUGGUGGGAAAUGUUUAUGCCUCUAAACAUUUGUCAUAUAACCUUGAUUUAUAUUGUGAGAGGGGAGGGAUAUAGCCUCAAACUCUAAUCGAAAGCAAAUUAGCAGGGGACAG